Long non-coding RNA from Suricata suricatta (meerkat), 341 nucleotides. RefSeq lists it as uncharacterized. The record is from RefSeq and is a predicted model, not a curated record. The transcript is spliced from 3 exons. Lineage: Eukaryota; Metazoa; Chordata; Mammalia; Carnivora; Herpestidae.
AAGCAAGAACAAAGAUGGAAAAACAGGGCAUCCCCUUGAAGGACUAAGCCAGAAUUUAUCCGUUCUACUGUUGAUGGUGAAGAACCACUAAGUCAGUCACAGGGAAAGGAAGGCCUAGGCACCUCAUCCAUGUUUCCCUGUUUUACGGGACCUGCUGGCUCUGAGACUUCCCUUUGCUCCACGUAAGGAAAGUAACCUUGCAAUAACCAAUCGGCUUCUACCUGGUAGGACUUCCCUGUGCCUGCUCCCUGGUGCCUGUGGAAGUCUUUCAUUUUGUACAGCUCCUUGGAGAGCUUUUCUAUCUGCUAGAUUAGAUGCUGCCGGAUUCAUGAAUUGCUGAA